ACAGGGCCAGGAGACCUUCUUCUCCUGUUUAAAAAGCCUUUAUUAGGAAUCAGCUUUGGGUGGGGGCCCGACAGGUCGCGCGCACACCGCCAGCGCUCCCUAAAGUGACUCAGAGGAGAAGGAAUACAGCUCUGCCUACGGGGUGCAAUGUAGGCCACGCCUACGGGGUGCAAUGUGGGCUGAGCCAUGGCUCCGUCCUCGCGGGUACACCCGGAGUCCCCUUUUGGCUCGAAAGUCCAGGGGUGUCUCCUCUAGCGAGUCUCUUUGCGGUCACGGCGAGGAAAGCGUUGGAGUCGGAGGGUAGUGUCCCUUUGUCCCGACCUUCAGGCAUCGCUCUUAGUUUCUUUAUUCGGUGUUCCGAUGUCCAGUAGAUUGAGUUUUCUGUCCGAGGUGGUGUUUUUUGGCAGCCGAUUUGCAUAACUCCCAAUCGCCAUUUCGGGAGGUCUCCCUUCCCCGCCGCCGCUUCGGGAAGUCUCCGGUCGCCAUGUUGGAAAUCCCCUAACUUCAGUUGUCGUGCCAGGGCAUCCCCGACCCCAGGCGCGGCAGGACAGGAGCAACGAGGGAACAGCCCGGCACCGGGUCAGAACUGGAACGCCUGGAACAGAGGCUGAACAGGACACUUGCAAAACCUGGCAAAAACCUGGCAGCUCUGGCCACCAGGGCACCCCCGGCCCCGGGCGCCCCCGGACAGGAGUAGCGGGGGGGGAAGCAGCUCGGCACGGGCUCCGAACCGGAACGCAUGGAACAGAGGCUGUAGAGAACUGGAGAGAACCUUUGUACAACAUGGACUGCAGGUGGGCUUAUUUAUAUCAUUAGUCAGAUUGAUAACACACGACUCUGGUAUGAUCCCAUGGUCUUCAUGAGGAAUUUGAGACCACAUCAAUUUGAGUUCAGCUCCUGAUCAGCUUUCAUAAGCUUGAAUGUAGGCAAAAUUGUAUUUUACAGAUGUAUUAUUUUUGAAAAUUUCCUGUCUGAUGUUUACCCAUAUACAAGUAAGUGCUGAGAUCCCCAUGUGAGGUACAGAUUGGCAAAAGCAGCAAACUGUCUGACAAGGCUCUUUGCAUCUCAAGGAGUUUCCUUAAGGAGUAGGCCAUGCCCUCAGCUGCUAUAAAUCAGUGCAAAUCUCCUGCAGUCUAGCUGAGCAGCUCUGGAGAAGGAUUGGGUUCAACCCUGCUUGAACCUACUUUCAAGCCCAUGAUGAUGGUGCUGGCUAUGGACAGGACAGGACAGUUCUGCUGGAGAAGCUGUGUCAGUUUACACCAGCUGGGCACACGGCCCAGGGCCCUCUCUCUUCCGUCUUUCCCAUGCUCAGGGAAACACAUCUCAGUGUGGAGAUAAGCCAGAGACCAGGGGGCUUGUGAC
This 1362-nucleotide long non-coding RNA is filed under the name Parus major (Great Tit). Its description in RNAcentral is "lncRNA (ENSPMJG00000003622.1)". Lineage: Eukaryota; Metazoa; Chordata; Aves; Passeriformes; Paridae. The record is from RNAcentral.